Long non-coding RNA from Zalophus californianus (California sea lion), 645 nucleotides. RefSeq lists it as uncharacterized. The transcript is spliced from 4 exons. NCBI's taxonomy places the organism in Eukaryota, Metazoa, Chordata, Mammalia, Carnivora, Otariidae. The record is from RefSeq and is a predicted model, not a curated record.
AAGCGUCACUGUAAGAUUUGGUGAGCGCUUAGUAUCCGUCAGACCCCGGGCCAAGAGCGAGUCAACAGCCUUUCAUUGACUCCUAAUAACCGGUGAUGUUGCCUCCUCAAGAGUCCCCUCCUGACUUCUCUGCUCAGAGUUGCUCCCUCCUCCAGUCACUGUGACAUCAUCAUGUUUGGUGUUCACAGCACUUGUCAUGGGCAAUGAACUUGCAGUUCAUGUGUCACCCAGCAGAAAACCAGUUCCUGAGGGCCGGGACGUGCUUUGUUCGCAGCUGAAUCCCCAUGUCUGGAUCAGCAUAGGGCACAUGAUCUUUACUGAGAAUUGCUGUGGGCCAGAUACUGUGUGAAAUGCUGAUGGUACAGCAGCAAACAAGACAUGUGAGGGCCCUGUCCUCAGAGUUGCAAGAGGGACAGACAAGAAACAGGGUCUCUCUGGCUGUCCGCAAGGAAUGAACUCAGGGGACCGUGCCGAGGCAGGACACCAGGAGGAGGUGACAGUGAUGGCUCAGGCUGAUUUCUACCUCCUGCGAACACUUUUGACCAUUCUCCAUCAAAGGAGCGACAUUGGGGCCCCCUUUGGGCAAGUUGCCUCGGUUUUCUGCUCCUGAAAAUGGGGCCAAGGAGAAGCUGCAGAGGCUGGGAG